This 93-nucleotide transfer RNA is filed under the name Bdellovibrionales bacterium. Its description in RNAcentral is "tRNA-Ser". It matches the Rfam family "tRNA". Rfam says of the family: Transfer RNA (tRNA) molecules are approximately 80 nucleotides in length. Lineage: Bacteria; Pseudomonadati; Bdellovibrionota; Bdellovibrionia; Bdellovibrionales. The record is from RNAcentral.
GGAGGGAUGGGUGAGUGGCUGAAACCAGCCGUUUGCUAAACGGCCGUACGAGUAAUGCUCGUACCGAGGGUUCGAAUCCCUCUCCCUCCGCCA